AGCACAGUUGAAUUAGAGCAUGGUGCUGAUAACACCAAGAUCAUGGGUUCGAUUCCCAU
This 59-nucleotide transfer RNA is filed under the name Apaloderma vittatum (bar-tailed trogon). It matches the Rfam family "tRNA", at positions 9 to 63 of the family's 71-position model. From Rfam's summary of the family: Transfer RNA (tRNA) molecules are approximately 80 nucleotides in length. Their secondary structure includes four short double-helical elements and three loops (D, anti-codon, and T loops). Lineage: Eukaryota; Metazoa; Chordata; Aves; Trogoniformes; Trogonidae. The record is from Rfam by way of RNAcentral.